Long non-coding RNA from Bradysia coprophila, 336 nucleotides. The record is from RefSeq and is a predicted model, not a curated record. Lineage: Eukaryota; Metazoa; Arthropoda; Insecta; Diptera; Sciaridae.
AGCGGUUAAUGACAUUGGAUUUGGAACGAAAACUGUACCUUUGACGAUUGUAUCGAAAGGGAGAACGGUCACUGGCAAUGGAACUGAAAGACAGACACUACGCGAAGCUCGAAACACAGCACCACCGUUGACAAUAGUCUCAAAAGGAAGAGCUCUCACCAACACUGGAGUUGAAGCUAGAACCCUUCCGUUGACGAUUGAUUCCCGACUAAAAGCAGUCAACGAAAUUGGGACACAACCAUUACAUGAAGAUAAAUAUCCACCAGUUCGAAAGGUCAAUGCAAUAAUUACCAAUUUCAACAAAGCCAAAGUUAAAAAUGCUAAAACGUCGGUUAC